GAUUGAACGCUGGCGGCAGGCCUAACACAUGCAAGUCGAACGGUAACAGGAAGCAGCUUGCUGCUUYGCUGACGAGUGGCGGACGGGUGAGUAAUGUCUGGGAAACUGCCUGAUGGAGGGGGAUAACUACUGGAAACGGUGGCUAAUACCGCAUAACGUCGCAAGACCAAAGAGGGGGACCUUCGGGCCUCUUGCCAUCAGAUGUGCCCAGAUGGGAUUAGCUUGUUGGUGAGGUAACGGCUCACCAAGGCGACGAUCCCUAGCUGGUCUGAGAGGAUGACCAGCCACACUGGAACUGAGACACGGUCCAGACUCCUACGGGAGGCAGCAGUGGGGAAUAUUGCACAAUGGGCGCAAGCCUGAUGCAGCCAUGCCGCGUGUAUGAAGAAGGCCUUAGGGUUGUAAAGUACUUUCAGCGGGGAGGAAGGUGUUGUGGUUAAUAACCRCAGCAAUUGACGUUACCCGCAGAAGAAGCACCGGCUAACUCCG
This 489-nucleotide ribosomal RNA is filed under the name Salmonella enterica subsp. enterica serovar Augustenborg. Its description in RNAcentral is "bacterial SSU rRNA". It matches the Rfam family "Bacterial small subunit ribosomal RNA", at positions 27 to 505 of the family's 1533-position model. The record is from RNAcentral. Lineage: Bacteria; Pseudomonadati; Pseudomonadota; Gammaproteobacteria; Enterobacterales; Enterobacteriaceae.